Molecule: ribosomal RNA, 439 nt
Filed under: uncultured bacterium
Lineage: Bacteria
Description: bacterial SSU rRNA
Rfam family: Bacterial small subunit ribosomal RNA
Source: RNAcentral
UACGGAAGGCAGCAGGGGGAAGUAUUGCACAAUGGGCGCAAGCCUGAUGCAGCCAUGCCGCGUGUAUGAAGAAGGCCUUCGGGUUGUAAAGUACUUUCAGUCGUGAGGAAGGUGUUAAGGUUAAUAACCUUAGCAAUUGACGUUAGCGACAGAAGAAGCACCGGCUAACUCCGUGCCAGCAGCCGCGGUAAUACGGAGGGUGCGAGCGUUAAUCGGAAUUACUGGGCGUAAAGGGCACGCAGGCGGUUAAUUAAGUUGGAUGUGAAAUCCCCGGGCUUAACCUGGGAAUGGCAUUCAAGACUGGUUAGCUAGAGUCUUGUAGAGGGGGUAGAAUUCCAUGUGUAGCGGUGAAAUGCGUAGAGAUGUGGAGGAAUACCGGUGGCGAAGGCGGCCCCUGGACAAAGGCUGACGCUCAUGUGCGAAAGCGUGGGGAGCAAAC